RNAcentral lists this long non-coding RNA (923 nucleotides) under Triticum aestivum (bread wheat). RNAcentral's name for it is "long non-coding RNA (TAES_LNC008729)". The record is from RNAcentral. Lineage: Eukaryota; Viridiplantae; Streptophyta; Magnoliopsida; Poales; Poaceae.
CAAGGCGAUCAUUCUCGCGCAGUUUCUGAACCAAAGCUUGAAAUAUGUCAGUCUCCAUUCUGAAGUACCUUUUGCAUAGGUCUUCAUGUCCAUUUAAAAUUUCGUUUACACGCCGUGCGCCUGUAAGUAUUGAAGUGUGCAUAGGUCUUCUUGAGGAAUGAGAGGGUUCUCCUAAAGUAGGAAGAACAAAAAGAGCAAAUUCAUCCUCACUUUUUGAUCUACGACAGUAGCUCGGAUCCAUCGGAUGUUAUGACAAACAAGCCUGUGGAAAAUCAGUGAGUUAUGUCAUGACUUUUCAAGUUUAAAUAUAUCUGCUUAAUUAGUAUAGUUAAGACUUCUAGUAAUUUAUUGGUCAAACAACAAGGCUUAGUUCUGCCAUGCUAGUCACAUCGUGAUCCCAAAUAACUUUGUCAUAUUCUGGAUUUUUUGGGAGAUAACUAAUACAACUUAGUACAGAUCAUUCUACUAUGUCAUGAUAUUAGGACAAUAUUUCUUUUCUUGCCUUUUACCUUUGCAUAUGUGUUUGAAUCAGUUACAGAAUGCAAGAACUAAAAAAAUAUGGCUUCUCAUGCUGAUGAUUGUUGGUGACUUGAUGAUUUUGGGUGGUCGGCUAGGAUGAAAAAUGUAUACGGGGAACAAAAAAGGCCAUGGUGUUCUCGAUUUUCUUGAUAUGGACUAAAUGGCCAGUGGUGGAAACAUGUACAGGGUGAAGAACUAAAGCAACUGGAAUGUAUACAGGGAGAAGAUCUAAAAAAAGCAAAGGAACGUGUACAGGAGAGGAGCUAACCUCAGAUUUGAGAGAAGAUCAAGCAAAUAUGAGGAAACUUCAGCUAUCACCAGCAAAGACUUGCAUGUAACCUGUUCUCGGUUGUAUGAAGUGGAGAUCUUGUAAAGAAGAAACUUUGUGCUUGCGUAUAUAUAUC